UCUGUAACGGGUGACGAACCCUAACCGAACCCUUCAAUUUCAAGAUUACUCUUCAAUAGAAGGCGAAUUUAAGGAGAGAAAAAAAUCACGAAUCCAUGGCCUUCUCAUAUCCAUCUUUCCGAUUUCUGUUAUCAAUUUCUCAUCAUGAGUAGAUUUUUCGAUUUUUCAUGAGUAGAUUUUUCGAUUUUUAAAAUUUCAGCUUUUCCCCAAAAUAAUUGAGAAUUUCUUCUUUGCAUGAGUAGAUUUUUCGAUUUUUAAAAUUUCAGCUUUGCAUUAUAUGAUUUUUUUACUACUGAGUUGGAAACCUAACGUUGAUGUUGGAGUUUUGGUUCUAUCAAAAAACCCCGUUGUUUUUCUAUUUCUUAAUCUGAUAGUGUUUGCUGCAUAGCUAAUCUUCAGUAAUCCAUAAAUUUUUGCUGGCUUAUCCUGAUAGUGUUCGAUUAAUUGGGUUUGAUGGAAAAUUUUCCCCUGUCAAUAUCACUUAUUUUUGUGUUUUUGAUUUGUUUUUUUUGGUUAAAAAAAUAAUGGACAUUAGCUAUGCAGCGAAAGUAUGUUCUGAACAUGGUAAAAUUGUUUUUUUUCUCACUUCCUGUUGUUUUUGGAUAUGAUUUACCUAAUGUUACUUUUAUAUUGUGAUUAUGCAAGUAUUGAAUGUGUUUUUCGUUGGCAUAGAUUGGUAAAUUGACAUCAAAAUGGCGGCGCAGGUCAAAUGCAACCCACCAAAGGUGGGCUUCUCAGCCAAACAGGAAAACUUCAAGUGCUUGCGAUCAGCGGAAGAAGGAAAGUCAAAUGUUGUCACAGUUCGAGUGACAAGGAAAUGGGAAGAGGUUAUCAUUGACGAGGAGGUGGAGCAAAUCAAAGAUAUUUCCAAGGAAGCUUGAAUUAUUUGAUCCUAGAUGUGAAAGAAGAUGCAGAAGCCUUAUAUAAAGUAGAAUGCAUGACUAUUCAUGGAGCAUCUUAUAAAUUUUUUCCAACUGGAGAGGCUAUAAUUAUUCUAAUGUCAUUGGUGGUGAAUGAUAAAAUGGAGCUAACGCCAUAUCUUUCCAAGAUAUCCAGAGGCAGCUCCGAACUGGGAUCACCUGCCUUUCAACAUCUUUGGAUUCUUCAUGGGAUUGACUGUUAGCCAUGACGCACAACCCGAAACUCCACUAUAUUGUAGGUCACUAACUGUUAUUUUGAAGGUUGGAAGGAUAUAAUUAUAUUUACAAUAACACUUUCAUCAAGGGAGUAAAAUAUAUGGGUGAAGAGAUUCAAAGCUUCAAAGCGACAGGUUGCCUUGGUGAUGGUUGAAAAAGUAAUAGUAAGUUUGAAUUCAACAAAGUGACUGGGACAUCAGAUUCGUGGAGGAAUUCUAUAAGUGACCACAGCGAAGAACAAAUCAGGAAAGUGCUCACUGGGUUCAACCAAUGCGGCACAGCCUCCCCACGAUCGGCAUGCGACGCAGGAAUGUAUUGCAAGUAAUUUCCAAGAGUAGGCAAAUUGAGCGCAGGUAAAUAUCUAGCAUCCCUACACAUAGUAAUAAAUGUAAUAUGAUAUAUUCAUAAAAGUGCAUUUAAACAUACUCAGUCUUAUUUCCAUGUUUAUAUUCAUGUUGUAUACUAAAGUCCUCUUAAGUUAUUGACACGCAGUAAGAACUCAGUUUUACACUGGAAUGUGAAUACCCACUGUAAAGCUCCAUGAAUAUGAGAAAAAAUGUAAGAAAAAUUGUAAAUUUGAGGCUGCUGCUUUUC
This is a long non-coding RNA of Papaver somniferum (opium poppy), 1730 nucleotides long. RefSeq lists it as uncharacterized. The record is from RefSeq and is a predicted model, not a curated record. Lineage: Eukaryota; Viridiplantae; Streptophyta; Magnoliopsida; Ranunculales; Papaveraceae. The transcript has 7 exons.